This 449-nucleotide ribosomal RNA is filed under the name uncultured bacterium. Its description in RNAcentral is "partial 16S ribosomal RNA". It matches the Rfam family "Bacterial small subunit ribosomal RNA", at positions 29 to 523 of the family's 1533-position model. The record is from RNAcentral.
AACGAACGCUGGCGGCAUGCCUAACACAUGCAAGUCGAACGAUAUCUUCGGGUCUAGUGGCGCACGGGUACGUAACGCGUGGGAAUCUGCCCUUUGGUUCGGAAUAACAGUUGGAAACGACUGCUAAUACCGGAUGAUGACGAAAGUCCAAAGAUUUAUCGCCAGAGGAUGAGCCCGCGUAGGAUUAGCUAGUUGUUGUGGUAAAGGCGCACCAAGGCGACGAUCCUUAGCUGGUAUGAGAGGAUGAUCAGCCAAACGGGGACUGGGACACGGCCCAGCCUCCUACGGGAGGCAGCAGUGGGGAAUAUUGGACAAUGGGCGAAAGCCUGAUCCAGAACUGCCGCGUGAGUGAGGAAGGCCUUAGUGUUGUAAAGCUCUUUUACCGGGGAUGUUAAUGACAGUACCGGGAGAAUAAGCUCCGGCUGACUCCGUGCCAGCAGCCGCCGUAA